RNAcentral lists this ribosomal RNA (433 nucleotides) under uncultured bacterium. RNAcentral's name for it is "partial 16S ribosomal RNA". It matches the Rfam family "Bacterial small subunit ribosomal RNA", at positions 28 to 507 of the family's 1533-position model. The record is from RNAcentral.
GACGAACGCUGGCGGCAUGCCUAACACAUGCAAGUCGAACGAGACCUUCGGGUCUAUUGGCGCACGGUUGCGUAACGCGUGGGAACCUGCCCUUAGGUUCGGAAUAACUCCCCGAAUGGGGUACUAAUACCGGAUAGUGUCUUCGGACCAAAGAUUUAUCGCCUUUGGAUGGGCCCGAGUUGGAUUAGCUAUUUGGUAGGGUAAAAGCCUACCAAGGCGACGAUCCAUAGCUGGUCUGAGAGGAUGAUCAGCCACACUGGGACUGAGACACGGCCCAGACUCCUACGGGAAGCAGCAGUGGGGAAUAUUGGAAAGUGGGCGAAAGCAUGAUCGAGCAAUGCCGCGUGAGUGAUGAAGGCCUUAGGGUUGUAAAGCUCUUUUACCCGGGAUGAUAAUGACAGUACCGGGAGAAUAAGCUCCGGCUAACUACGUG